RNAcentral lists this ribosomal RNA (253 nucleotides) under uncultured bacterium. RNAcentral's name for it is "partial 16S ribosomal RNA". It matches the Rfam family "Bacterial small subunit ribosomal RNA", at positions 524 to 776 of the family's 1533-position model. The record is from RNAcentral.
UACGAAGGGGGCUAGCGUUGUUCGGAAUUACUGAGCGUAAAGCGUGCGCAGGCGGCUUCUCAAGUCAGGGGUGAAAGCCCAGAGCUCAACUCUGGAAUUGCCUUUGAGACUGAGUGGCUUGAGUACGGGAGAGGUGAGUGGAAUUCCCAGUGUAGAGGUGAAAUUCGUAGAUAUUGGGAAGAACACCGGUGGCGAAGGCGGCUCACUGGCCCGGUACUGACGCUGAGGCACGAAAGCGUGGGGAGCAAACAGG